AACGCAUAUUGCACUCUUUGGUAUUCCGAAGAGUAUGCCUGUUUGAGGGUCAUUUGAAAAUUAAUCAAGUUUAAUCUUGGAAUAAUGAGUUUUCCGUGUUAUCAUAUCAUCGUAUGGUAAUUGGUCACUCGAAAUUAAUGUCAUGUCUUGGCUUGUAACAGACGCGUUUAUUUUAAAUUUUAAAUGUUCGCAACUAAUCAAGUCUUGUGUAAUGGCAUGUUUAAUUUUUCCCUUUUAAAAAGAGGAAGAAAUCGAACAACUUUUUAUAAUCGUGACCUCAAAUCAGGUAAGAGUACCCGCUGAACUUAA
RNAcentral lists this unclassified non-coding RNA (309 nucleotides) under uncultured Archaeospora. RNAcentral's name for it is "sequence contains ITS2". The stretch from base 1 to 52 matches the Rfam family "5.8S ribosomal RNA", at positions 103 to 154 of the family's 154-position model. Lineage: Eukaryota; Fungi; Glomeromycota; Glomeromycetes; Archaeosporales; Archaeosporaceae. The record is from RNAcentral.